RNAcentral lists this ribosomal RNA (467 nucleotides) under uncultured bacterium. RNAcentral's name for it is "partial 16S ribosomal RNA". It matches the Rfam family "Bacterial small subunit ribosomal RNA", at positions 29 to 507 of the family's 1533-position model. The record is from RNAcentral.
ACGCACGCUGGCGGCGUGCUUAACACAUGCCAGUCGCACGGAAAGGCCCUGCUUUUGUGGGGUGCUCGAGUGGCGAACGGGUGAGUAACACGUGAGUAACCUGCCCUUGACUUUGGGAUAACUUCAGGAAACUGGGGCUAAUACCGGAUAGGAGCUCCUGCUGCAUGGUUGGGGUUGGAAAGUUUCGGCGGUUGGGGAUGGACUCGCGGCUUAUCAGCUUGUUGGUGGGGUAGUGGCUUACCAAGGCUUUGACGGGUAGCCGGCCUGAGAGGGUGACCGGCCACAUUGGGACUGAGAUACGGCCCAGACUCCUACGGGAGGCAGCAGUGGGGAAUAUUGCACAAUGGGCGGAAGCCUGAUGCAGCAACGCCGCGUGCGGGAUGACGGCCUUCGGGUUGUAAACCGCUUUCGCCUGUGACGAAGCGUGAGUGACGGUAAUGGGUAAAGAAGCACCGGCUAACUACGUG